AUACUUAACCUGGCAGGGGAGAUAUCGUGAUCACAAAGGUGGUUUUCCUAGGGCAAGGCUCACACAUUGCACUCCUGGUGUGUGGACCCCUGCGAUUUCCCCAAAUGCAGAAAACUCGACUGCAUGAUUUGUGGUAAUGGGGGACUGUGUUCGCACUCUCCACUA
Small nuclear RNA from Oryctolagus cuniculus (rabbit), 165 nucleotides. Its record names the gene U1. It matches the Rfam family "U1 spliceosomal RNA". From Rfam's summary of the family: U1 is a small nuclear RNA (snRNA) component of the spliceosome (involved in pre-mRNA splicing). Lineage: Eukaryota; Metazoa; Chordata; Mammalia; Lagomorpha; Leporidae. The record is from Ensembl.